This 484-nucleotide ribosomal RNA is filed under the name Deinococcus detaillensis. RNAcentral's name for it is "Deinococcus sp. H1 partial 23S ribosomal RNA". It matches the Rfam family "Bacterial large subunit ribosomal RNA", at positions 1 to 504 of the family's 2925-position model. Lineage: Bacteria; Thermotogati; Deinococcota; Deinococci; Deinococcales; Deinococcaceae. The record is from RNAcentral.
AGGUCAAGAUACUAAGGGUUUAUGGUGGAUGCCCUGGCACUGGAGCCGAUGAAGGACGCGAUUACCUGCGAUAAGCCAAGACGAGCUGGAGAUACGCGUUGACUCUUGGAUUUCCGAAUGGGGAAACCCACUGGCCGUGAACGGCCAGUAUCCCGCAAGGGAAGGGAACGUGGGGAACUGAAACAUCUCAGUACCCACAGGAAGAGAAAGAGAAAUCGAUUCCGUGAGUAGCGGCGAGCGAAACCGGAACAGCCCAAACCCAGUCGUUUACGAUUGGGGGUUAUAGGACCACUAUUUAAGAUUCAAGCCGUUUAGCCGAAGCUGUUGGAAGCCAGCAUCACAGAGGGUGACAAUCCCGUAGGCGAAAAACGAAUUGACUGAAGUGGCACCUGAGUAGGUCGUUGUCCGUGAAACGAUGACUGAAUUCACGCGGACCACCGCGUAAGGCUAAAUACUCCCAGUGACCGAUAGCGCAAAGUACCGU